RNAcentral lists this ribosomal RNA (253 nucleotides) under uncultured bacterium. Its description in RNAcentral is "partial 16S ribosomal RNA". It matches the Rfam family "Bacterial small subunit ribosomal RNA", at positions 524 to 776 of the family's 1533-position model. The record is from RNAcentral.
UACGGAGGGGGCUAGCGUUGUUCGGAAUUACUGGGCGUAAAGCGCACGUAGGCGGAUUGUUAAGUCAGGGGUGAAAUCCUGGAGCUCAACUCCAGAACUGCCUUUGAUACUGGCGAUCUUGAGUCCGGGAGAGGUGAGUGGAACUGCGAGUGUAGAGGUGAAAUUCGUAGAUAUUCGCAAGAACACCAGUGGCGAAGGCGGCUCACUGGCCCGGUACUGACGCUGAGACGCGAAAGCGUGGGGAGCAAACAGG